Molecule: transfer RNA, 82 nt
Filed under: Spraguea lophii 42_110
Lineage: Eukaryota; Fungi; Microsporidia; Spragueidae
Rfam family: tRNA
About the family: Transfer RNA (tRNA) molecules are approximately 80 nucleotides in length.
Source: Rfam by way of RNAcentral
GUCAGUAUGGCCGAGUGGUUAAGGCGCUGGAUUCGAAAUCUAGUGGGUAUAUCCCUCGCGGGUUCAAAUCCUGCUGCUGACG